GACAACCAGCCUUGCUCACGAAGCGUCAGCCGUAUCCUUUCUGUGUGCAGUGGGGUGUGGGUUGUGUGGAGCCGCGGUGUCUGUGGAAUUCACAGGCUGGGGCCGGAAUCCAUGGCCCCCGUCGCCGCUGCCACCCCCCAGGUGCUGGGGUGACCUGAUCCAGGGUUGGGGUCUAAGCUGCUGGGGGGUUGGAGUCUUGGGCUCUGGCCCACGUCCGCCUCUGAUUGGUUCUACCACCUGAGCCGGUCACUGACCCUCCAUGGGCCUCAGCUUACCCUAUGGUAAAGUGAGAACUAGGGGGUCAGACUCCUUGAUCACCAAGAUCUCUGACCACAGCCAAGGCUAAGGGAAGCGCAGGAAAACGUGGGGCUCGUCCAAAUUCCCAGCCUCUCUCUGCCCCCUGGUGGACGCCGGCAGCCUAGCACCCGGGGGGAGAUGACCCCGACACUGUGUGACCUCUGCCAAGGCACCCAUCCCUCUGAGCCCCAGUUCCCACCGGUUACAUAGGAAUGAUUAUAAUACCCACCUCUUUGGGCAAUUGUGAGGAGGCAAGGAGAUAAUACAUGCAAAGUGCUUGGAUGGGAUGGGUACUAGCCACUCAACAGAAGGCAGAUCCUAGAAUGGGGAUGGCAAGUCCUGUCAUCAGUGAAGAAUGUAAUGACUGCAAGCUUAGAUGACAUGUCUGUUACUGGAAACCAGAGUUGUUUACUUAAGCUGUAAAUGAACUCAUAGUCCCUGGGAUAAUUAUCUCACCUCUGGAUAAAUAAACUCAACAGCCUUAUGUAUUUUAUUAAUUUUUCUUAAAAAAAAGCUUAAAAUAUUUUUCCUUUGAUUUGUUCUCUUUCUUUGGUUUCUGACUUUAUUAUGUCCUUUCUUUCUGCUUAGGCAUUUGUUUUAUUGCUCUUUUUUCACCAACUCAAACUGAAUGGUCACCUUAACAGUUUUAUUGAGAUCCAUUAUUUAUUCUUCUCCAUCUUGUUCUGUGUUCCUGGAAGCCAACCUUUAUAAGCUGCAGGAAAUGGAUUUCCUACUCUCCACCUUCUGAUUGGGCUUGACCAACGGGGAGCACUGGCAGAAGACAAGCAUGGGAGGAAAAAGAGAUCAGGGCUGGAGUGCAGUGGCGUGAUCUCGGCUAGCUACAACCUCCACCUC
RNAcentral lists this long non-coding RNA (1152 nucleotides) under Homo sapiens (human). RNAcentral's name for it is "non-protein coding lnc-PPIE-1:5". Lineage: Eukaryota; Metazoa; Chordata; Mammalia; Primates; Hominidae. The record is from RNAcentral.